This 1023-nucleotide long non-coding RNA is filed under the name Piliocolobus tephrosceles (Ugandan red Colobus). RNAcentral describes it as "lncRNA (ENSPTEG00000023315.1)". Lineage: Eukaryota; Metazoa; Chordata; Mammalia; Primates; Cercopithecidae. The record is from RNAcentral.
AUGUUAUAUGAAUGGGAUGAUUCUUUAGACUGUAAUUGGAGAAAGAGAAUUACUGAAGUAAUUCGUGACGUUAUUAUGUACGAUUAUCCAUUUAAAGAAGUUAGAAGACCAUCUAAUUUAGAUUUGUAUGAUAUAACCUGGUAUGCAGGUAAAAUAGAUAUUUUUGUCAUUCCCGAAAAACAAACAAAUGAAGUUAAUAAUAACCAUAGUAAUAAAAAUGUUACAUUAUUCGAUUUAAAACAAUUAGUAAAAAAAAUAGCUGAAAGAUUAAAACAAUUAGAAGUCGAUGAAGAAAUUUUAGUUUUACCAUUUUUCGAAUUAGUUGUUUCUUCUCUUCCUAGUAAAAAUAUCCUAAUUUGUCGUAAAGAUUGGAAUAAAAAUAUAGGCAAUGAAGUUAUUGUUUAUUUUAAAAAUAAUUUAUAUGAACCGAUUAAAGGAGUUUUGUUAGGAUCACCUUCUGUAUUUCAUUUAAUAUUAAACAUAAAAAAUGAAAGAAUAGAAAAUAUAUUUAUUAAUUUAAUUGAUAAAGUUGUACUUGAAAACACAAAAGAUGAUUUACAAAAUAAUAUUCGUUUAAAUGCGACUAUUAAACAAAGAGAUGGAGAAAACUACUCAUACAUGGUAAAUAACAUUCCAACCGAUGCGAAAAAAAUUAAUAAAAAUGCGGUCGAUAUAACAAAACACGAACAAAUAAAAGAAGAGCAAUAUGAAGAAAAAAAAAAAAAAAAAAAAAAAACAACAACAACCUUAAAAGUAAACGAAUUUGAUGAAUUAGAACAAUUAAAAAACAAAAAAAAAAAAAAAACAAGUAAUGAUAAUGACAAACAACUUAAUUUACUUAAAAAUAUUAACACAUUAGAUGAUUUUGAUGAUAAUUACAAUUUAAUAAAACAGCCUGGAGACAUUGAUGAUGAUGAUGGUGAUAAUGAAAAUGAUGAUCAGGAGGAUGCCGACGAAUAUGACGAAAUCGAAGAUCUUGAAGAUAUUCAUGACUAUGAUGAUGUUGAUGAUAUUUCAAACUAG